This 84-nucleotide transfer RNA is filed under the name Stereum hirsutum FP-91666 SS1. RNAcentral describes it as "tRNA-Leu (CAA) (tRNA-Leu-CAA-2-1)". It matches the Rfam family "tRNA". From Rfam's summary of the family: Transfer RNA (tRNA) molecules are approximately 80 nucleotides in length. Their secondary structure includes four short double-helical elements and three loops (D, anti-codon, and T loops). The record is from RNAcentral. Lineage: Eukaryota; Fungi; Basidiomycota; Agaricomycetes; Russulales; Stereaceae.
GGCAAGAUGGCCGAGCGGUCUAAGGCGUGUGACUCAAGUUCUCAUCUCGGCAACGGGGCGCGAGUUCAAAUCUCGCUCUUGUCA